RNAcentral lists this ribosomal RNA (887 nucleotides) under uncultured archaeon. RNAcentral's name for it is "bacterial SSU rRNA". It matches the Rfam family "Archaeal small subunit ribosomal RNA", at positions 17 to 879 of the family's 1478-position model. The record is from RNAcentral.
CCGGACCCCACUGCUAUCGGGAUAGGACUAAGACAUGCUAGUCAAGCGCUUUCUAGCUAAUGUGAGAGCGCGGCGUACAGCUCAGUAACACGUGGCCAACCUGCCCUUGGGACGGGAACACCCCCGGGAAACUGGGGUUAAUUCCCGAUAGGUGAAGAAGUCUGGAAUGAUUCUUCGCUCAAAAGACGUUUAUGUCAUGCUCAUAUUCGUCGCCCAGGGAUGGGGCCGCGACCGAUCAGGUAGUUGGUGAGGCAAUGGCUCACCAAGCCUUUUACCGGUGCGGGCCGUGAGAGCGGGAGCCCGGAGAUGGGCACUGAGACAAGGGCCCAGGCCCCACGGGGCGCAGCAGUCGCGAAAAUUUUGCAAUACACGAAAGUGUGACAGAGCUAUCCCGAGUGCCAUCCGCUGAGGAAGGCUUUUACCCAGUAUAAAUAGCUGGGAGAAUAAGGAGAGGGCAAGUCUGGUGUCAGCCGCCGCGGUAAUACCAGCUCUCCGAGUAGUGUGGACGUUUAUUGGGCCUAAAGCAUCCGUAGCUUGCUAGAUAAGUCCUCUGUUAAAUCCACCGAUUCAAUCGUUGGUUUGCGGGGGAUACUGUUUGGCUAGGGGACGGGAGAGGUCGACGGUAUUUCCGGGGUAGGGGUGAAAUCCUAUAAUCUCGGGAGGACCACCAGUGGCGAAGGCUGUCGACUAGAACGCGCCCGACGGUGAGGGAUGAAAGCUGGGGGAGCGAACCGGAUUAGAUACCCGGGUAGUCCCAGCUGUAAACGAUGCAGCUAGGGUGUUUGGGCGGCACGAGCCGCCCUAGUGCCGCAGGGAAGCUGUUUAGCCUGCCGCCUGGGGAGUACGGCCGCAAGGCUGAAACUUAAAGGGAAUUGGCGGGGGAGCAC